UGGGGAAUUUUGGACAAUGGGCGCAAGCCUGAUCCAGCCAUGCCGCGUGCGGGAAGAAGGCCUUCGGGUUGUAAACCGCCUUUGUCAGGGAAGAAAUCUUCUGAGUUAAUACCUCGGGAGGAUGACGGUACCUGAAGAAUAAGCACCGGCUAACUACGUGCCAGCAGCCGCGGUAAUACGUAGGGUGCAAGCGUUAAUCGGAAUUACUGGGCGUAAAGCGUGCGCAGGCGGUUUUGUAAGACAGAGGUGAAAUCCCCGGGCUCAACCUGGGAACUGCCUUUGUGACUGCAAGGCUUGAGUGCGGCAGAGGGGGAUGGAAUUCCGCGUGUAGCAGUGAAAUGCGUAGAUAUGCGGAGGAACACCGAUGGCGAAGGCAAUCCCCUGGGCCUGCACUGACGCUCAUGCACGAAAGCGUGGGGAGCAAACAGGAUUAGAUACCCUGGUAGUCCACGCCCUAAACGAUGUCAACUGGUUGUUGGGAAGGUUCCUUCUCAGUAACGUAGCUAACGCGUGAAGUUGACCGCCUGGGGAGUACGGCCGCAAGGUUG
RNAcentral lists this ribosomal RNA (548 nucleotides) under uncultured bacterium. RNAcentral's name for it is "partial 16S ribosomal RNA". It matches the Rfam family "Bacterial small subunit ribosomal RNA", at positions 355 to 896 of the family's 1533-position model. The record is from RNAcentral.